GUUCUCUUAAUUCAAUGGUUAGAAUCACAUUCUUCUAAAAUGUUUAUUCUGGUUCGAGUCCGGAAGAGAACU
Transfer RNA from Hebeloma cylindrosporum, 72 nucleotides. It matches the Rfam family "tRNA". Rfam says of the family: Transfer RNA (tRNA) molecules are approximately 80 nucleotides in length. NCBI's taxonomy places the organism in Eukaryota, Fungi, Basidiomycota, Agaricomycetes, Agaricales, Hymenogastraceae. The record is from Rfam.